This 409-nucleotide ribosomal RNA is filed under the name uncultured bacterium. RNAcentral's name for it is "bacterial SSU rRNA". It matches the Rfam family "Bacterial small subunit ribosomal RNA", at positions 370 to 772 of the family's 1533-position model. The record is from RNAcentral.
AAUGGGCGAAAGCCUGACGCAGCGACGCCGCGUGAGCGAUGAAGGCCUUCGGGUUGUAAAGCUCUGUGGGGAGGGAAGAAUAAGGGCAAGUGAAUAUCUUGUCUGAUGACGGUACCUCCUUAGCAAGCACCGGCUAACUCUGUGCCAGCAGCCGCGGUAAUACAGAGGGUGCAAACGUUGUUCGGAAUUACUGGGCGUAAAGGGCGUGUAGGUGGCAAUGCAAGUCGGAUGUGAAAGCCCGCGGCUCAACCGCGGAAGAGCACCCGAAACUGCAUAGCUAGAGUCUCGGAGAGGAAGGUGGAAUGCUUGGUGUAGAGGUGAAAUUCGUAGAUAUCAAGCGGAACACCGGUGGCGAAGGCGGCCUUCUGGACGAUGACUGACACUGAUACGCGAAAGCGUGGGGAGCAAA